RNAcentral lists this microRNA precursor (98 nucleotides) under Canis lupus familiaris (dog). Its description in RNAcentral is "mir-544 microRNA precursor family". It matches the Rfam family "mir-544 microRNA precursor family". RNAcentral also lists the same sequence under 1 other name. The record is from Rfam by way of RNAcentral. Lineage: Eukaryota; Metazoa; Chordata; Mammalia; Carnivora; Canidae.
AUCACCAGUGGAUCUUGUUAAGGUGCAGAUUCUGACUCAGUACCUCUGGGGUAAGGCCUGAGAUUCUGCAUUUCUAACAAGCUUCCAGGUGAUAUUUA